This 477-nucleotide ribosomal RNA is filed under the name Ornithodoros savignyi. Its description in RNAcentral is "partial large subunit ribosomal RNA". The stretch from base 133 to 477 matches the Rfam family "Bacterial large subunit ribosomal RNA", at positions 2048 to 2620 of the family's 2925-position model. The record is from RNAcentral. Lineage: Eukaryota; Metazoa; Arthropoda; Arachnida; Ixodida; Argasidae.
UCUGCUCAAUGAUUUUUUAAAUUGCUGUGGUAUUUUGACUAUACGAAGGUAUUGAAAUAAGGCUUUAAUUGGGUGCUAAGAGAAUGGUUUAACAGAGAUUAUCUUUUUUCUUAUUUAAAUUAGAAGUUAAUUUGAAAGUGAAGAAGCUUUUAUAAGAAUUUGGGACAAGAAGACCCUAUGAAUUUUUUCGGAGGUUAUUUUUUGUAUUUGUUUGGAAGAUGGAAUUUGAGUAAUUUUUGAUUGAUUGGGGCGAUUUUUAAAUUUAGGUAACUUUAAAAGUGUUUUAUUGGAUCCAAUAUUAUUGAUAGGUUGAAUAAAAUACUCUAGGGAUAACAGCGUUAUUGCUUUGGAUAGUUCAUAUAGAUAAAGUAGAUUGCGACCUCGAUGUUGGAUUAGGAUACCUUUACCUAAUGAAGAAGUGGUAAUAGGGGGUUUGCUCAACCUUUGAAUUCCUACUUGAUCUGAGUUCAGACCGGA